GAUGAACGCUGGCGGCGUGCCUAAUACAUGCAAGUCGAGCGAACGGACGAGAAGCUCGCUUUUCUGAUGUUAGCGGCGGACGGGUGAGUAACACGUGGAUAACCUACCUAUAAGACUGGGAUAACUUCGGGAAACCGGAGCUAAUACCGGAUAAUAUUUUGAACCGCAUGGUUCAAAAGUGAAAGACGGUCUUGCCGUCACUUAUAGAUGGAUCCGCGCUGCAUUAGCUAGUUGGUAAGGUAACGGCUUACCAAGGCAACGAUGCAUAGCCGACCUGAGAGGGUGAUCGGCCACACUGGAACUGAGACACGGUCCAGACUCCUACGGGAGGCAGCAGUAGGGAAUCUUCCGCAAUGGGCGAAAGCCUGACGGAGCAACGCCGCGUGAGUGAUGAAGGUCUUCGGAUCGUAAAACUCUGUUAUUAGGGAAGAACAUAUGUGUAAGUAACUGUGCACAUCUUGACGGUACCUAAUCAGAAAGCCACGGCUAACUACGUG
RNAcentral lists this ribosomal RNA (497 nucleotides) under uncultured bacterium. Its description in RNAcentral is "partial 16S ribosomal RNA". It matches the Rfam family "Bacterial small subunit ribosomal RNA", at positions 28 to 507 of the family's 1533-position model. The record is from RNAcentral.